This 475-nucleotide ribosomal RNA is filed under the name uncultured bacterium. RNAcentral's name for it is "SSU rRNA". It matches the Rfam family "Bacterial small subunit ribosomal RNA", at positions 26 to 523 of the family's 1533-position model. The record is from RNAcentral.
AGGAUAAACGCUGGCGGCGUGCCUAACACAUGCAAGUCGAACGCGCUUUCGGGCUUCGGUGCGAGAGCGAGUGGCGGACGGGUGAGUAACACAUGGGUACCUACCUUGGAGUGAGGGAUACCGGCGAGAAAUCGCCGACAAUACUGCAUAGGCUUCUUCACAAGGGAAGCAAAGUGACGCGAGUCACGCUGUGAGAUGGGCCUGUGGCCGAUUAGCUAGUUGGGGGGUAACGGCUUCCCAAGGCGACGAUCGGUAGCUGGUCUGAGAGGACGAUCAGCCACACUGGGAUUGAGAACGGCCCAGACUCCUACGGGGGCAGCAGUGAGGAAUUUUCCGCAAUGGAGGCAACUCUGACGGAGCAACGCCGCGUGCAGGAGGAAGGUUUUCGGAUCGUAAACUGCUUUUCGUCGGGGACGAGCAAGGACGGUACCCGAUGAAGAAGCCCCGGCUAACUACGCGCCAGCAGCCGCGGUAA